CGGCCUCACCAGGGGGGUCCCGACAAGGGGCUGAGAUACUGCUGGCUCGCGCAGCGCAGUGACCCGUUGAACCUGAUCCAGUUCACACUGGCGUAGGGACGGUGCGAGGCGCUGCAG
Molecule: non-coding RNA, 117 nt
Filed under: Aminobacter sp.
Lineage: Bacteria; Pseudomonadati; Pseudomonadota; Alphaproteobacteria; Hyphomicrobiales; Phyllobacteriaceae
Description: TPP sequence
Rfam family: TPP riboswitch aptamer (THI element)
About the family: Vitamin B(1) in its active form thiamin pyrophosphate (TPP) is an essential coenzyme that is synthesised by coupling of pyrimidine and thiazole moieties in bacteria. The previously detected thiamin-regulatory element, thi box was extended, resulting in a new, highly conserved RNA secondary structure, the THI element, which is widely distributed in eubacteria and also occurs in some archaea.
Source: RNAcentral